GGAAACGCCGCUAUUGAAUCCCUGGAACGAAUGAGGGAGCAAAGCAAGAAAGCAUCACUUCAGCUUGUAGAUAUGGAGUGCAGUUACCUGACUGUUGAUUUCUUCCGGAAGCUACCUCAAGAUAUUGAAAAGGGAGGCAACCCUACACAUUCGAUUUUUGACCGAUACAAUGACUCAUAUCUAAGGCGUGUCGGAACGACGGUGCUAUCUUAUGUCCAUAUGGUUUGUGCAAGCCUACGAAACUCGAUUCCAAAGUCCAUUGUUUAUUGUCAAGUACGAGAGGCCAAAAGAAGCCUCCUCGACCACUUUUUCACCGAGUUGGGAAAACUUGAGCAAAAGCGCCUAUCAUCAUUAUUGAACGAGGAUCCAGCGAUAAUGGAGCGGCGUUCUGCCCUAGCAAAGAGGCUCGAGUUAUACAGAAGUGCACAAGCAGAAAUCGACACGGUUGCUUGGUCGAAGUAAGAUUGUUACGUGUAUAAUAUCUUCUUUCUGUAUGUGGAAUCUGGGAGGGAAGAUGGCAGCAGCACAAUUCUUUCAUUCAUACAUUGCGGGGAAGAAGGUUAGCUGGAUAAAAGCUGAUUUUUGUUGUAU
Molecule: unclassified non-coding RNA, 591 nt
Filed under: Hevea brasiliensis (rubber tree)
Lineage: Eukaryota; Viridiplantae; Streptophyta; Magnoliopsida; Malpighiales; Euphorbiaceae
Source: RNAcentral